RNAcentral lists this transfer RNA (63 nucleotides) under Centrotus cornutus. RNAcentral describes it as "tRNA-Val". The record is from RNAcentral. Lineage: Eukaryota; Metazoa; Arthropoda; Insecta; Hemiptera; Membracidae.
CAAAAUGUAUCUUAUAUUAAAGUAGGUUAUUUACAUUAAUCAGAAAUCUUCGGUUCGUUUUGA